This 492-nucleotide ribosomal RNA is filed under the name uncultured bacterium. Its description in RNAcentral is "partial 16S ribosomal RNA". It matches the Rfam family "Bacterial small subunit ribosomal RNA", at positions 29 to 507 of the family's 1533-position model. The record is from RNAcentral.
AGUGAACGCUGGCGGUAGGCCUAACACAUGCAAGUCGAACGGCAGCACAGUAAGAGCUUGCUCUUACGGGUGGCGAGUGGCGGACGGGUGAGGAAUACAUCGGAAUCUACUUUUUCGUGGGGGAUAACGUAGGGAAACUUACGCUAAUACCGCAUACGACCUACGGGUGAAAGCAGGGGAUCUUCGGACCUUGCGCGACUGAAUGAGACGAUGUCGGAUUAGCUAGUUGGCGGGGUAAAGGCCCACCAAGGCGACGAUCCGUAGCUGGUCUGAGAGGAUGAUCGGCCACACUGGAACUGAGACACGGUCCAGACUCCUACGGGAGGCAGCAGUGGGGAAUAUUGGGCAAAGGGCGCAAGCCUGAUCCAGCCAUACCGCGUGAGUGAAGAAGGCCUUCGGGUUGUAAAGCCCUUUUGUUGGGGAAGAAAAGCAGCAGGUUAAUACCCCGCUGUUCUGACGGUACCCAAAGAAUAAGCACCGGCUAACUACGUG